Amphiprion ocellaris (clown anemonefish) is the source of this 3896-nucleotide long non-coding RNA. RefSeq lists it as uncharacterized. The transcript is spliced from 4 exons. The record is from RefSeq and is a predicted model, not a curated record. Lineage: Eukaryota; Metazoa; Chordata; Actinopteri; Pomacentridae.
GCGGAACCAAUGUGCGGCUGCAGGUUGGUUACCGGCAGCAUAAAAUGGGACACACGCAGCACUGAGAGGGAAGGAGAAUGAAUGACCUCGCUCAAACAAAGUGGCUGUGAGCACAAGGAUUUGCGGCAAACUGACUGUGCAGGACCUGCUUCAUCUACGGAAAUCCGGGUGGCGGCCGGUUUUUCACCUAAACCUAUCAACCAACCCUAUCGACUAAACCUUUCAACCAAACCUAUCACCUAAGUUGCCAUCGUUGUAUUCUAUGACCUUGGAACUAUUGCAAAAUAAAAGAGGAGGAAAAGAAAGCAACUGUCUGACUCAUGAGUGGAGCCCAGCUCAUAACCCGAGUAGAUGAACAUCCUUUUUCAAUCACCGACAGUAAUCUGAGUAUAAGGAGGAAGUAAUUGGAUUACUGACCCCUGGUAGCGGUGGAGGAGGAGCUGGAGGAGGAGGUGGUGGUGGUGGAGGAGGAGUUGGAGGAGGAGGAGGUGGUGGUGGUGGUGGAGGAGGAGCUGGAAGCCGUGGUGGAGGCCGGAACCAGAGCCUCCAUGUCGGCCGCACUGUGGGAGUGGGACAGGCAGAGGGCGCUCAUCGGCAGGAGACCCUCCUGGAGACACAACAGACACCAGCCGGGUCGGUCCGCUGGUCGCUCCACCAGCUCCACCGUCUGACCACAGCGAACACUGAGUUCUCCUGGACCUCCAGAUGAGAAAUCCAACAGAACCACGACCAACUCACAGCCUCCAGACAGCUGCAACACAGAGGAGGCACAGCUGAGAUAUACGGCUGAGAUAUACGGCUGAGAUAUAGAGGUGAGAUAUACAGCUGAGAUAUAUAACUGAGAUAUAUAACUGACAUAUACAGGUAACAUUCGGCUGAGAUAUACAGCUGAGAUAUAGAGGUGAGAUAUACAGCUGAGAUAUACAGCUGAGAUGUACAGCUGAGAUAUACAGCUGAGAUAUAUAACUGACAUAUACAGGUAACAUUCGGCUGAGAUAUACAGCUGAGAUAUAGAGGUGAGAUAUACAGCUGAGAUAUACAGCUGAGAUGUACAGCUGAGAUAUACAGCUGAGAUAUAUAACUGACAUAUACAGGUAACAUUCGGCUGAGAUAUACAGCUGAGAUAUAGAGGUGAGAUAUACAGCUGAGAUAUACAGCUGAGAUAUACAGCUGAGAUAUAGAGGUGAGCUAUAUAACUGACAUAUGCAGGUAACAUACGGCUGAGAUAUACAGCUGAGAUAUACAGCUGAGAUAUAGAGGUGAGAUAUACAGCUGAGAUAUAUAACUGACAUAUACAGAUAACAUUCGGCUGAGAUAUAUACAGGUAACAUACAGGUAAUGUACAGGGGAAUUUUCCAUGUUAUGUGUUUAUAUUAAAAUAAUAUUAAAAUGAAAUUUUAAAUUUUUUUAAUAAACUUUUCUUCAAAUUUCAUUUCAUUUUAAUUUUUUUAAAUAUUCCACGAUAAGUUUUUCUGGCAUUUUAUUUAUAUAUUUUUUACAUUUUCUAAAACAGCUUCCAGACAUUUUAUUAUUGAAAAAAAGUGUUGAACAGUUAUUAAUUUUUUUACACACUUUCUUAAUAUUUUUCUGCCAUUUUUAAAAGUAAUUUUUCCAUAUUUUUAUUAGUAUUUUUCAAACAUUCUAUUAGUAUUUUUCUAAACUUUUAUGAACAUUUUUCUCGGAUUAUAUUUUUAGUAUUAUUUUUUUUAUAUUUCUCUGAUGUUUUGAGAAUUUUUAAAUUAUAUUUACUAUAAAUUUUCAGUAUUUUAUUCAUACUCUUCUGAUAUUUUACUAAUAUUUUGUUUCCAUUUUAUUAAUAUUUCUGAGACGUUUUGACAUUUUUAUCACAUUUUACAAAUAUUUUUAGUGCAUUUUAUGAAAAUAUUUCUGAUAUUAUAUUUACAUUUUUCAGAUAUUUUAUUGAUGCAUACUAAUUAUACUAUUAUAUAAUAUUUCUAUGACAUUUUCUAAAUAUUUUUAAGACAUUUUAAACAGAUAAAUAUUCAUUACAUUUUACUAGAAUUUCUUCAGGAAUUUUAUUAAUAACUUUUCUAUUAAAUUUUUCAUAUAUUUUUUCUAACAUUUUAUUAAUAUUUCUUGCAUAUUUUUUGCCUAUAUUCACUGAUAUUUUGUUUAAAUUUUUUAGACACAAUGGUAUUUUUAUGACAUUUUCGUUGUACAUUUUUAGACAUUUGAAUAAUAUUGUUAUGACAUUUGACUAUUAUUUAGGCAUUUUAACAACAUUUUUCUGAGAUUUUGUCCUUUUAAUUUUAGAAUUAUUAUUUCCAAAACCAACACUUCUUCUUUAAAAUAAAUAAUGAAGAAAAUGUGACAUGUUUUGUGGGUUUUUUUUGCCUGUUUUCACUCAAAUGUGACAAAAACAUCCCAGAAUAAAUUAAACAUAAACUGUAAACACAUGGUCUGCAGCUGCGCUCUGAUUGGCUCAGCAGGGCGUCACGUGACCUGGACGGCGAGGCCAGGUUGCCGUGGUUACGGCUGACUCGGUGUGAAGCAGAGCUCAGAGGGGAGUUCCCGACAAAUCGAACACAGCUGUGAUCAGGGAGACGAACCUGCAGCUCAAAAAUGCAACUUUUCCCAAGUUUAUCGCCUUUUUCUCACAUUUAGACCGAAAAUAACAGAAGAGAGUCAAAAGACUCUAAAAACUUAUCACCUCUACAACUGGAACAUACACAAAAAUACACAAAACUACUGCACAAAUACACAAAACAACCACAGAAAUACACAAAACAACCACAAAGAGACACAAAAUGACCACAAAGAGACACAAAACAACCACAAAAAUACACAAAACUAGGAAUACACAAAACAACCAGAGACACAAAACAACCACUAAAAUACAGAAAACAACCAUAAAAAUACACAAACAACCAUAAAAAUAUGCAAAACAACCACAAACAUACACAAAAUAAGGACAAAGAUACACAAAACAAACACAAAUAUACAUAAAAUUAGGAAAAAGAUAAACAAAAUGACCAGAAAAACGAGCAACAUGACAACAAAGACGCAAAAUUACCACAAAAAGACGUAAAACAAACACGAAGAGACACACAACGAUCAUUAAACAAAUACGAAUGUCAACAAACAUGACAUGACCACCAAGGGAUGCAAGAUGACCACGAAAGAAUGAAAACAGACACAAAACGACCAAGAAGAGAAACAAAAUAACCACAAUAAGACCCAAAACAAUGACCAGCAUACACAAAAUAGGCAAAAAGAUACACAAAAUGACCAGAAAAACACACAAAAUGACCACAAAGACACAAAACAACCACAAAGACACACAGUUUUCUUCUGCACUUGAGGUUUCUGUUUUUAGCCGAGAGGUCAGACGUCAGCUAACUCCACCCGCCCCGGCUAACCCCACCCGCCCCGGCCCGGCUCACCUCCAGCAGGUAAAAGGAACCAAACGUACCUCCAGAGCAGCAGCUAGAGGCAGCAGCUCUUCUGGACGAGGAGAGAAACUCCUUCAGACACAAACAGCUGCAGCAGUGAGGUCAUCGACGACACACCCCUCUGAGCGCGCUCACUGGGAGCUGUGUGCGUGCGUGCGUGCGUGCGUGCGUGCGUGCGUGCGUGCGUGCGUGCGUGCGUGCGUGCGUGCGUGCGUGCGUGCGUGCGCGUGCUACCUUGUCGCUGUCGGCGGUGUUCUGCGAGGUCCGGGAGGCGAUGGAGACAGUGUCGGGUUGACUGCUGGCAUCACCCAGGCUGUCGGCAUCUUCACUGGUCUCCCUGAAAAUACAUAAACACUCAUAAAAAUAUAGAAGUAAAGUGUUUAUAAGAUGCAAAAAAUACUGAUAACUUUAUGUAAAAAUAUAAAGAAAAUGUCUUCUAAAAAAUGUUUGAACAUUAUGAAAAAAUAUUAUAAAUAAAAGCUA